This 845-nucleotide long non-coding RNA is filed under the name Olea europaea subsp. europaea. Lineage: Eukaryota; Viridiplantae; Streptophyta; Magnoliopsida; Lamiales; Oleaceae. The record is from RNAcentral.
AAACUAACUAACAAAUUGAAAGAUAGAAAACUUAAUGCUUUUAUUUAUUAUUAUUUUUUUUGAAUUCUCUUUGCACUCCGUAUCACUAUCCCCCCACCAUUUCAACUGACCUUUAAUUUUAUUUUUUGUAAGAGGGAGUAUUUAAAAAUAUCCAGUAAGAUACGUGCAAUUUCUGUGGACAAUUAUAUAACAAUAAAAUUCACAUUUCAUGCCACAUUUCUCUUAUGGAGUAUAUCGGUAACCAAACAACAUACUUAUCAUUAGUCAUUUAAAUUCCCAGAGGAUUUCACAUUUCGUUAUGAAGAACCCAAUAGAUUUCACAUUUUCGUUAGGUCGAACCCGAAGGUCCAUCGAUAAUUCAAGCAUAAAUUAUUGAAUUUAAAAGUAUACUGAAAUAAACUACUUACACAAAAGUAUCUUACUUUGAUUUUGAAAGGUUGGAAAGAAUAAGAUCUUGCACGUAAAAAUUCUCUUCUUAUUUUUCUAUACCUUUUCCUCUCCUUUCUCUCUAUCAUGGCUCUCUUUAUUUUCCGUGAUGAAAAAAUGUGAAUUCUUGCAGUAUUUAUAGUUGAAAUUCUCAAUUGAGUUUGCAUGCAACUAGAAUUGAAAAAUCAUGUAAUACAAGGAAUUUAAAUAAGAAUUGAUUUCAAAUGGUAGAGUUAGUAGUAUACUCUACUAUUGAUUUUCCUGGUACAAUCAUCCCAUUAAAAGUAGGACACUUGGCCAACUAGUGCUUGGUUUCAAAAAGUGAUUUGAAUUGUACUAUACUAUUGGUUUCAUAUAAAUCACGUGCGAUAGGAAUUACAAGAUGAAAAGAAUUUUACAUAAUUAAUAUUGCAAGCCCC